CUUUUCGGGUUCUCCUCAAGGCUUUAAAACGUCUCCUAGGGAAAGGUUUUCACACCCUUAAUAAAGGGUAUUCCGUUCUAGGGGAGGUUUCCACACCCUUAUAAAGAAUGUUUUGUUCUCCUCUCCAAAUAUGUGUAACGGCCCAACCUCCCCCUAGCAAAUGCAUUUAAAAACCUUGAGAGGAAGCCCGAAAGGGAAAGUCCAAAGAGGACAAUAUCUACUAGCGGUGGGCUUGGGUUGUUACAAAAAAUCAUGAAAUAAAACAAAGUCAAACAUGCACAAACUCGAUUCUGUAUAGGGCAUGCACUCAUAGUAGAUCCUAGGUUAAGGAGUGUCGUUGCAACUAAACCGCUGGCAUGUUUACAGAAACGCUAGGGUUUCUAAAGAUGUGAUAGUGAGAAUUGAUCUUCCCACUUGCCAUCACACAAGCAACAAUAAAACCCAAACGAACAUGUCACUGAUCCAUUAUCCAACCAAGGGUGCAACUAAUGAACAACGAAACCAGAACACUGAACAAAAGACAUGCCAAUGACAACUCCAAAGAGUCAAGAAGCACAGUGCACACCCAACUCAAGUCUCUAGUGUAAGGCAUCAGAGUAUGACAAAAUCACAAUUACAGUAACCAUAGAACAUGAACACCAAACAAUCUUUAAUAUACAUUUGUGACUCGGAAGAGCUGAGACUAUUAGGACUAUUAGGACACCAGCAUACGCCAAAACAGCAAUAGUAGUUACUCGAAAGACUCGGCACCAAUCAAUCAUAAUUCUUUCACCAUUACAAUUUAAGAUCCUUAAGGAUGAGAGUUACACGUCUGAAUUUCUUACAAAGUCAUAAUAUCAUUUGAAAAGUCAAUUUCGACCCAAAUAUACAGCAAACAUUUUCAAACUGAACACACCCAUGUGUUGAAAAAGAUAGUGCAUACAUACAACAUGCAUAGUGAAUUAAAAAAAUAAAUGAAACCUGUGAGACUACU
Cucurbita moschata (crookneck pumpkin) is the source of this 973-nucleotide long non-coding RNA. RefSeq lists it as uncharacterized. The transcript has 3 exons. Lineage: Eukaryota; Viridiplantae; Streptophyta; Magnoliopsida; Cucurbitales; Cucurbitaceae. The record is from RefSeq and is a predicted model, not a curated record.